RNAcentral lists this ribosomal RNA (419 nucleotides) under uncultured bacterium. Its description in RNAcentral is "bacterial SSU rRNA". It matches the Rfam family "Bacterial small subunit ribosomal RNA", at positions 29 to 473 of the family's 1533-position model. The record is from RNAcentral.
AACGAACGCUGGCGGCAGGCCUAACACAUGCAAGUCGAGCGAACCCUUCGGGGUUAGCGGCGGACGGGUUAGUAACGCGUGGGAAUAUACCCUUUGGUACGGAAUAGCCUCGGGAAACUGAGAGUAAUACCGUAUGUGCCCUUCGGGGAAGGAUUUAUCGCCAAAGGAUUAGCCCGCGUUGGAUUAGAUAGUUGGUGGGGUAAUGGCCUACCAAGUCUACGAUCCAUAGCUGGUUUGAGAGGAUGAUCAGCAACACUGGGACUGAGACACGGCCCAGACUCCUACGGGAGGCAGCAGUGGGGAAUCUUAGACAAUGGGCGCAAGCCUGAUCUAGCCAUGCCGCGUGUGUGAAGAAAGGCCUGCGGGGUUGUAAAGACACUUUUGUUUCGGGAAGGAAAUACAUGUCGGUUAAUUACCCG